CAGCAGCCACGGGAAUACGUAGGUGGCAAGCGUUGUCCGGAAUUAUUGGGCGUAAAGGGCUCGCAGGCGGUUUCUUAAGUCUGAUGUGAAAGCCCCCGGCUCAACCGGGGAGGGUCAUUGGAAACUGGGAAACUUGAGUGCAGAAGAGGAGAGUGGUAUUCCACGUGUAGCGGUGAAAUGCGUAGAGAUGUGGAGGAACACCAGUGGCGAAGGCGACUCUCUGGUCUGUAACUGACGCUGAGGAGCGAAAGCGUGGGGAGCGAACAGGAUUAGAUACCCCUGUAGUCCCUGUCUCUUAUAC
Molecule: ribosomal RNA, 301 nt
Filed under: uncultured bacterium
Lineage: Bacteria
Description: partial 16S ribosomal RNA
Rfam family: Bacterial small subunit ribosomal RNA
Source: RNAcentral